Molecule: long non-coding RNA, 961 nt
Filed under: Rattus norvegicus (Norway rat)
Lineage: Eukaryota; Metazoa; Chordata; Mammalia; Rodentia; Muridae
Description: long non-coding RNA NONRATT008473
Source: RNAcentral
AGGCAGUAGUCAAGUUGUUCCGGUGUCAUUCCUAGGAAGGAAGAAGAUUCUUUGGUUUGUCUGAAUGGCCAGGGAGUCUGCGGCUGGAUUCAGAAAGCCAUCCACAGCAAGAGAGUGGAGAUGUUCUAUCUCUCUUCAAGAUUAUCCUGGGAGAGAAGGAAAAGAAUUUGUUACUCGGGAGACUGCAUUAUUUAACACCAACCUGUUCCUUUUCGGUCCAACCUAAGAUGGCUGCAAUACUACAAAUGUGCCAGCAGAUGACGCUACAGGCUACAAUAUUCUAUGUCUGACUUUUACUUGAAAUUUCCUCAUUUGGGCAUUCUGCAGACUCCUUAGAAUUCCUGCAAAUAUUUGGGGAGAAUCCAAGAGAAAAGUGAAAAAAAAUUUAAAAAUCAUACUAUAACAGUGGUAGAAAAUUUAAAGUUAUAUGACUAGUAAUAAACACAAAACUUAGUUGAAAUCCGUUUUUAACCGGGGAAAAGGAGGGUGAUUUUGUGCUAAGCUGCCCAGGUAGCAGCAGAGUUUUGCUGCUCCGUGUGGCCCUCACCUUCAUUCUGUUCAGCAAAGCCUUGCACUGCAUCACAGAUGGGACUCUGAGGAAUGGAAGAACGAACUUGAGAUCCAGAGGACGUUGCUUAGCUGUGAUAUCCUGGACUCAUCAUUUAACCUCCUCGGGCUUUGAAUAAUAACACCCAUCAUGCCCUGCUGUGAAGACGAGAAAGAGACAAGGGGUGAAAACAAAGAUUAGCGGUCACCAUUAACUAUCAUUCUUUCUUGCUCAGUUAGAAACAUUUGAAAAACACUGACCAGUUUAAGUUUUUCUAAAAAAAAAAGGAACUGGGGACUUCAGAGGCUGUGUGAUUGGGUUCUCAAAUCAAGUUUCACAAUUUCACAAUACAAUACAAUUAUUUAUGUGAAACCAGACACUCCACUCCUAAUCUUUUACAGGUGCACCUUGCUC